This 320-nucleotide ribosomal RNA is filed under the name uncultured Elusimicrobiales bacterium. RNAcentral's name for it is "bacterial SSU rRNA". It matches the Rfam family "Bacterial small subunit ribosomal RNA", at positions 29 to 339 of the family's 1533-position model. Lineage: Bacteria; Pseudomonadati; Elusimicrobiota; Elusimicrobia; Elusimicrobiales. The record is from RNAcentral.
AGUUAACGCUGGCAUCGUGCAUAACACAUGCAAGUCGAACGGGACUUAGUUUGUAGCUUGCUAUAGACUAAGUUUAGUGGCAGACGGGUGAGUAAUGUAUAAGGAACCUACCUCUGAGUGGGGAAUAACAGUCCGAAAGGAUUGCUAAUACCCCAUAAUAUAACUUAGUGGCAUCACGGAGUUAUCAAAGAUUUAUCGCUUGGAGAUGGUCUUAUAUUCUAUCAGCUAGUUGGCAGUGUAACGGACUACCAAGGCGACGACGGAUAGCCGGCCUGAAAGGGCGACCGGCCACAAGGGCACUGAGACACGGGCCCUACUCC